CAGGAGGUACCUGUUUCUGCAAGCCCUGGACAUUCCUCAUUCACAGUGGCAGCAAAAUUGAUAUCCAGCUGCUUCAUCAUCUUGUCUGCAGUCGUGUGAUAAACUCCCGAAGGACCAGUACACUUCAUCCAGAAAGCCAGCAGCGACAGCUUCUUGUGGAACUCUGGGAUUGCUGAGGGAGAAGACAAAAUGAAAGGUGAAACAAAGUUGUGCUCAGUGCGUUGUCUUCCUAAAGGGAAAUGUGAUAGGUGUGGAGGACAUCCACUCCAUCUCGCUGACGGAAGAUGUGAGAAAAUCUGCUCCCG
RNAcentral lists this long non-coding RNA (305 nucleotides) under Gallus gallus (chicken). Its description in RNAcentral is "long non-coding RNA NONGGAT004258". Lineage: Eukaryota; Metazoa; Chordata; Aves; Galliformes; Phasianidae. The record is from RNAcentral.